CCCCCAACACAUGCAGCCCCUGUUCUUCCCACCUCUCCAGCUCCUGAGUGUUCCACGGCCCCACCGUUGCCUGUGUUCUUAGAAGUGGGUGCAGGUAACCCAGACAGCAGCAAGCUGGGGAGAGGCCAGGUUGGGUCAGUCUUCAUUCCCAACCCACAGAUGACAGGCAGGAAAGAUGAGUGGUCGCCUCACCAGCCACCGUGGAUGUGAAGUAAGCACCUUCUCAGGGAGGAUUUUGGGCAUCCCAGCCCACCCAGAGGUGCACAGACGACAGCAUUGCCCCACUCUGGUGUGUGUUGGGGACAGGCCAGGUGCCAGGGCUGGGAGGGGGCCCCUGGAGAGGAGGGGGCAUGGGCUACAGAGCUGCUCCAUGGGAAAGAACAGGCCCUGGUGCUGCUUUGCCUGUCAAUAAGAAGUGGGGGCCUCAGCUAAGUGUCUGGUGGUCUUGCAGGGGACCACAGGUUACACUGCAGUGACAAGGAGGGGCUGAAGGGGCAGAAGGGGAAGAGAGGCAGAGCUGACAGGGGUCCCAGCAUCCUUCCGGCCCUCUGUGCACCCCCACUUCUGUCUCAUGUGCCAGGCCCUGGGGCAGCGCUGAGGGUCCAGGUGCUCCCCAUCCAGGGGAGAGGCAGACGCCAGAGCUUCCCUAAAGCUGCGACCUGGGAAGUAUUGAAUCAGGGUGGAGACAGGGCCCUUGAGGCUCAGACGAGGCACCCCUGAGAGUCUGUCUGCUCAGGGAGGAGCCCA
Molecule: long non-coding RNA, 747 nt
Filed under: Homo sapiens (human)
Lineage: Eukaryota; Metazoa; Chordata; Mammalia; Primates; Hominidae
Description: non-protein coding lnc-LIMS3-4:1
Source: RNAcentral